Molecule: ribosomal RNA, 497 nt
Filed under: uncultured bacterium
Lineage: Bacteria
Description: partial 16S ribosomal RNA
Rfam family: Bacterial small subunit ribosomal RNA
Source: RNAcentral
GAUGAACGCUGGCGGCGUGCCUAAUACAUGCAAGUCGAACGGACGGGCGAUAAGCUUGCGGCGCUCAUGUUAGCGGCUGGCGGGUGUGUAACGCGUGUAUAACCUACCUGUAUUUCGGGUAUAACUUCGAAAAACGGGAUCUAAUACGAUAGGAUAUUUUGAACCGCAGUAGGCAAGGGUAAAUUACGGUCUUUGGGUCACUUAUAGCUGUAUCCGCGCUGCAUUAGCUGGUUGGUAAGGUAACGGCCUACCAAGGCAACGAUGCAUGGCCGAACUGAGGGGGUGAUCGGCCACACUGGAACUGAGCCACGGUCCAGACUACUAAGGGAGGCAGCAGUAGGGAAUCUUCCGCAAUGGGCGAAAGCCUGACGGAGCAACGCCGCGUGAGUGAUGAAGGCCUUCGGAUCGUAAAACCCUCUUAUUAGGGAAGAACAUCUGUGUAAGUAAACGUGCCCAUCUUGACGGUACCUAAUAAGAAAGCACCGGCUAACUACGUG